This 345-nucleotide long non-coding RNA is filed under the name Homo sapiens (human). Its description in RNAcentral is "HSALNT0260769". Lineage: Eukaryota; Metazoa; Chordata; Mammalia; Primates; Hominidae. The record is from RNAcentral.
AACCCCAUUUCUAUGAAAAAUACAAAAAUUAGCCAGGCGUGGUGGCACACGCCUGUAGUUCCAGCUACUUGGGAGGCUGAGACAGGAGAAUUGCUUGAACCUGGGAGGCGGAGGUUGCAGCGAGCCGAGAUCAUCGCACCACUGCAUUCCAGCCUGGUAUCUACCCGAGAGCUGGAAAUAUAUAUCUACAAAAAGACUUGGUUCUUUCACAGGUGAGAAAAAUGAGGAUUGGAGAAAUCAAAGUCACUUGCUCAAGGUCACAUAGGACGUAAGUACUGUACGGAGAAGGAUUCAACUAAACAACAGAGCCCAGAGCCUGAGUUUUCAGCUAUGAUCUCCCUCAGU